RNAcentral lists this small nucleolar RNA (181 nucleotides) under Hordeum vulgare subsp. vulgare (domesticated barley). RNAcentral describes it as "Small nucleolar RNA Z112". It matches the Rfam family "Small nucleolar RNA Z112". Rfam says of the family: Z112 is a member of the C/D class of snoRNA which contain the C (UGAUGA) and D (CUGA) box motifs. Most of the members of the box C/D family function in directing site-specific 2'-O-methylation of substrate RNAs. Lineage: Eukaryota; Viridiplantae; Streptophyta; Magnoliopsida; Poales; Poaceae. The record is from Rfam by way of RNAcentral.
GUCUCCGUGAAGAGCUCUAGACCAGGAAGUGCCGUAUGACACUGUAAACAGCAGCUGCUUCUCUGCUGCUGCAAGUGUCCGCCCCAGUAGCAUAACCUUUGUGGUUUGCUCUGGGAUGGAAUACCAUUUGCACCGGCUUGAUUCAGCUGUGUGCGUGAUUUGAAACGGGUCUCUGAGGGGC